Acipenser ruthenus (sterlet) is the source of this 673-nucleotide long non-coding RNA. RefSeq lists it as uncharacterized. The transcript is spliced from 3 exons. The record is from RefSeq and is a predicted model, not a curated record. NCBI's taxonomy places the organism in Eukaryota, Metazoa, Chordata, Actinopteri, Acipenseriformes, Acipenseridae.
AAAGAAUGCUAUCUCGAAACAUCAGUCUCGUCAAGCCGAAAUAGCUCAGUUGGGAGAGCGUUAGACUGAAGAUCUAAAGGUCCCUGGUUCGAUCCCGGGUUUCGGCAAACAACAAGACGCUGUUAUAUUAAUCAGGAAGGCUAUUUCCGCGGCCAGCACGAAGCGCCAGCAAACAGAAGAGCCUCAACAAAAGAGCCGGGAGUCUAGCUGUGGGAGUCCAGCGAGGGGAGGCCUGCCUCGAGACGCUGUUCGAAUAGAUCCUAACCUAACAGUGCUCUGGAAGAUGCCAUCUACUAGUCAGCUAAGAAACUCGGAGUCACCCUGGACCCCUGCCUCUCUUAUUCCCAGCACAUCUCCACUCAGGCACUCACUUGCCAACUCUUCCUGAGCAACAUAUGAAGAAUCCAACCCUUCCUCACCAACUACGCCACCCAGCUCCUGGUCCAGGCCCUGGUACUCUCCCACCUAGACAACUUCAACUCCCUCCUGGCUGGCCUCCCUGCAUCCGCCACCUGUCCGCUCCAGCUCAUCUAAAACUCCGCUGCUCGCCUGGUGUUCUCUCUGCCUCGCUUCUCCCACGCUACUCCACUGCUCCGCUCACUCCACUGGCUCCCGAUCACCGCUCACAUCCAUUUCAAGACUCUUGUACUAGCCUACAGAUGCCUUGACCAGA